RNAcentral lists this ribosomal RNA (325 nucleotides) under Klebsiella quasipneumoniae subsp. quasipneumoniae. RNAcentral's name for it is "bacterial SSU rRNA". It matches the Rfam family "Bacterial small subunit ribosomal RNA", at positions 319 to 636 of the family's 1533-position model. The record is from RNAcentral. Lineage: Bacteria; Pseudomonadati; Pseudomonadota; Gammaproteobacteria; Enterobacterales; Enterobacteriaceae.
CUGAGACACGGUCCAGACUCCUACGGGAGGCAGCAGUGGGGAAUAUUGCACAAUGGGCGCAAGCCUGAUGCAGCCAUGCCGCGUGUGUGAAGAAGGCCUUCGGGUUGUAAAGCACUUUCAGCGGGGAGGAAGGCGAUAAGGUUAAUAACCUUGUUGAUUGACGUUACCCGAAGAAGAAGCACCGGCUAACUCCGUGCCAGCAGCCGCGGUAAUACGGAGGGUGCAAGCGUUAAUCGGAAUUACUGGGCGUAAAGCGCACGCAGGCGGUCUGUCAAGUCGGAUGUGAAAUCCCCGGGCUCAACCUGGGAACUGCAUUCGAAACUGG